AUAUUGGACAAUGGGCGAAAGCCUGAUCCAGCCAUGCCGCGUGAGUGAUGAAGGCCCUAGGGUUGUAAAAUUCUUUCACCGGGGAAGAUAAUGACGGUACCCGGAGAAGAAGCCCCGGCUAACUUCGUGCCAGCAGCCGCGGUAAUACGAAGGGGGCUAGCGUUGCUCGGAUUUACUGGGCGUAAAGGGCGCGUAGGCGGACAGUUAAGUUAGGGGUGAAAGCCCGGGGCUCAACCUCGGAAUUGCCUUUGAUACUGGCUGUCUUGAGUACGGGAGAGGUGUGUGGAACUCCGAGUGUAGAGGUGAAAUUCGUAGAUAUUCGGAAGAACACCAGUGGCGAAGGCGACACACUGGCCCGUUACUGACGCUGAGGCGCGAAAGCGUGGGGAGCAAA
Molecule: ribosomal RNA, 394 nt
Filed under: uncultured bacterium
Lineage: Bacteria
Description: bacterial SSU rRNA
Rfam family: Bacterial small subunit ribosomal RNA
Source: RNAcentral